RNAcentral lists this ribosomal RNA (532 nucleotides) under Phaeocystidibacter luteus. Its description in RNAcentral is "bacterial SSU rRNA". It matches the Rfam family "Bacterial small subunit ribosomal RNA", at positions 43 to 572 of the family's 1533-position model. Lineage: Bacteria; Pseudomonadati; Bacteroidota; Flavobacteriia; Flavobacteriales; Phaeocystidibacteraceae. The record is from RNAcentral.
CAGGCCUACACAUGCAAGUCGAACGGUAGACAGUCUCUUCGGAGAGCUGACGAGUGGCGCACGGGUGCGUAACGCGUAUGCAACCUACCUCAAACUGGGGGAUAGCCCGAAGAAAUUCGGAUUAAUACCCCAUGGUAUUGUUGAAUCGAUUGGUUUAGCAAUUAAAGAUUUAUCGGUUUGAGAUGGGCAUGCGUCCCAUUAGCUAGUUGGUGAGGUAACGGCUCACCAAGGCGACGAUGGGUAGGGGGCCUGAGAGGGUGGUCCCCCACACUGGUACUGAGACACGGACCAGACUCCUACGGGAGGCAGCAGUGAGGAAUAUUGGUCAAUGGACGCAAGUCUGAACCAGCCAUGCCGCGUGCAGGAUGACGGCCCUACGGGUUGUAAACUGCUUUUAUACGGGAAUAAUGUGUCCUACGUGUAGGAUUUUGAAGGUACCGUAAGAAUAAGGAUCGGCUAACUCCGUGCCAUCAACCGCGGUAAUACGGAGGAUCCAAGCGUUAUCCGGAUUCAUUGGGUUUAAAGGGUCCGU